AUGCGAUGAUGGUGUGCGCCUCGCCUGCUCCUCCGCGCGCGCGCGUGCGUACACACACAACACACACACACACACACACACACGUCUUAUGUAAUCGAGCCCGGGUAAAGCAGGGCUGCAGAAAGCAGAAACGGCGAGCCCGGCUCCUGGGAGCAGGUCUCGGCCCCCGCUUGGGGCCCCGGCCGUGCGGCCGGAGGGAGCGGCCGGAUGGAGCGGAGGAUGAAAGCCGGAUACUUGGACCAGCAAGUGCCCUACACCUUCAGCAGCAAAUCGCCCGGAAAUGGGAGCUUGCGCGAAGCGCUGAUCGUCCCGCAGGGGAAGCUCAUGGACCCGGGCUCCCUGCCGCCCCUCGACUCUGAAGAUCUCUUCCAGGAUCUAAGUCACUUCCAGGAGACGUGGCUCGCUGAAGCUCAGGUACCAGACAGUGAUGAGCAGUUUGUUCCUGAUUUCCAUUCAGAAAACCGUGAGUAGAGGUCCCUGGGGAGAGGGUAUAGGGAGUGGAGGAUGGCAGGAAGUGAGUCAUAGGAUAGAGAAGCACAGGAGAGCAGCUUGUUCUCUCCUAAAAAACAGUGG
Molecule: small RNA, 573 nt
Filed under: Pongo abelii (Sumatran orangutan)
Lineage: Eukaryota; Metazoa; Chordata; Mammalia; Primates; Hominidae
Description: retained intron
Source: RNAcentral